Molecule: ribosomal RNA, 460 nt
Filed under: uncultured bacterium
Lineage: Bacteria
Description: partial 16S ribosomal RNA
Rfam family: Bacterial small subunit ribosomal RNA
Source: RNAcentral
CCUACGUGUGGCAGCAGUGAGGAAUCUUGCUCAAUGGCCGUAAGGCUGAACCAGCCAAGUCGCGUGAAGGAAGAAGGAUCUCUGGUUUGUAAACUUCUUUUAUAGGGGAAUAAAGGUAUCCAAGUGUGGAUAUUUGCAUUUACCCUAUGAAUCAACAUAGGCUAACUCCGUGCCAGCAGCCGCGGUAAUACGGAGGAUGCGAGCGUUAUCCGGAUUUAUUGGGUUUAAAGGGUGCGUAGGUUGUUUUUUAAGUCAGCGGUGAAAGUUUGUGGCUCAACCAUACAAGUGCCGUUGAAACUGGAAGACUUGAGUGUGUUUGAGGUAGGCGGAAUGCGUGGUGUAGCGGUGAAAGGCAUAGAUAUCACGCAGAACUCCGAUUGCGAAGGCAGCUUAAUAAGCCAUAACUGACACUGAGGCACGAAAGCGUGGGGAUCAAACAGGAUUAGAUACCCCUGUAGUC